ACCUACGGGGCGCAGUAGGGAAUCUUCCACAAUGGGCGAAAGCCUGAUGGAGCAACGCCGCGUGGGUGAAGAAGGUCUUCGGAUCGUAAAACCCUGUUGUUAGAGAAGAAAGUGCGUGAGAGUAACUGUUCACGUUUCGACGGUAUCUAACCAGAAAGCCACGGCUAACUACGUGCCAGCAGCCGCGGUAAUACGUAGGUGGCAAGCGUUAUCCGGAUUUAUUGGGCGUAAAGGGAACGCAGGCGGUCUUUUAAGUCUGAUGUGAAAGCCUUCGGCUUAACCGGAGUAGUGCAUUGGAAACUGGG
Molecule: ribosomal RNA, 305 nt
Filed under: uncultured bacterium
Lineage: Bacteria
Description: bacterial SSU rRNA
Rfam family: Bacterial small subunit ribosomal RNA
Source: RNAcentral